RNAcentral lists this ribosomal RNA (650 nucleotides) under uncultured bacterium. RNAcentral's name for it is "bacterial SSU rRNA". It matches the Rfam family "Bacterial small subunit ribosomal RNA", at positions 104 to 748 of the family's 1533-position model. The record is from RNAcentral.
GGGUGAGUAAUAUAUCGGAACGUGCCCAGUCGUGGGGGAUAACGCAGCGAAAGCUGUGCUAAUACCGCAUACGAUCUCUGGAUGAAAGCGGGGGACUCGCAAGAGCCUCGCGCGAUUGGAGCGGCCGAUAUCAGAUUAGCUAGUUGGCGGGGUAAAAGCCCACCAAGGCGACGAUCUGUAGCUGGUCUGAGAGGACGACCAGCCACACUGGAACUGAGACACGGUCCAGACUCCUACGGGAGGCAGCAGUGGGGAAUUUUGGACAAUGGGCGCAAGCCUGAUCCAGCAAUGCCGCGUGCAGGAUGAAGGCCUUCGGGUUGUAAACUGCUUUUGUACGGAACGAAACGGUUCUCUUUAAUAAAGGGGGCUAAUGACGGUACCGUAAGAAUAAGCACCGGCUAACUACGUGCCAGCAGCCGCGGUAAUACGUAGGGUGCGAGCGUUAAUCGGAAUUACUGGGCGUAAAGCGUGCGCAGGCGGUGAUGUAAGACAGAUGUGAAAUCCCCGGGCUCAACCUGGGACCUGCAUUUGUGACUGUAUAGCUAGAGUACGGUAGAGGGGGAUGGAAUUCCGCGUGUAGCAGUGAAAUGCGUAGAUAUGCGGAGGAACACCGAUGGCGAAGGCAAUCCCCUGGACCUGUACUGACGCUC